Molecule: ribosomal RNA, 253 nt
Filed under: uncultured bacterium
Lineage: Bacteria
Description: partial 16S ribosomal RNA
Rfam family: Bacterial small subunit ribosomal RNA
Source: RNAcentral
UCCGAAGGGGGCUAUCGUUGCUCGGAAUCACUGGGCGUAAAGCGCACGUAGGCGGCUUCUUAAGUCAGGGGUGAAAUCCUGGGGCUCAACCCCAGAACUGCCCUUGAUACUGAGGAGCUUGAGUCCGGGAGAGGUGAGUGGAACUCCGAGUGUAGAGGUGAAAUUCGUAGAUAUUCGGAAGAACACCAGUGGCGAAGGCGGCUCACUGGCCCGGUACUGACGCUGAGGUGCGAAAGCGUGGGGAGCGAACAGG